Misgurnus anguillicaudatus (oriental weatherfish) is the source of this 3193-nucleotide non-coding RNA. NCBI's taxonomy places the organism in Eukaryota, Metazoa, Chordata, Actinopteri, Cypriniformes, Cobitidae. The record is from RefSeq and is a predicted model, not a curated record.
UGUAGUGGAGGACUUUUAUUAUGCUUUUAUUUUCAUAUUAUUAUGUUUUAUUUUUCAUCCUAUUUUUCAUUUCAAUCAUAGAAUUGUGAUUCAUAUGGAGAUCAUGUUUUUCUGCUAACGCACAUAAUUAUGCUUUUUCUGUCUUUUCAGCAAGUACAAUGUUCAAGGAUUUAAACAUCAUGUACCAACAUGUACUUUUCUAUAUGAUAAGAUAAGGGGGCUUAACGGAUGAAUCAUUAAGUUAGAAACCCAGGGAACGGUAGAGUUCUCUGAGAAACAAACCAUAUGUUUUAUGAUUAUGUUUAAUGUUUAUGUUCUUAAUCACUGACAGCUGAAGACUAUCUUCUUAAUGACGUAGAAACGGAUGAUUGUACGUGUUUCAGCAUCUUACUAUAAAUGUGUGUUCAACCUUGUGAUCGGGGCUCUUGGGUUUAGACUUCUAGCACCAGGGAGUGAGAGCCUAUUCUGCAGAAUAUAUAAAAUUCAGACAAAGAAAAUUCUGUCGACAGUGUGUCUGUGUGAUCCUUGACUUUGACUCUUAGUGAGUAUUAUUUGAUGCGGCUAAAAUUCCACGACAAUAAUGGCGACGAGGAUGCGGAUUCCACAGCUGAAGACUCCAGAAGGUUUGGGAGAGACUGACUGAUCACCCCUGAGACGAGAGGUCUCGGGCUCCGUACCCCAGGCCUAAGGGAAGGGAGAGUCUCAACCAUUUCUGAAGUCAAAGCUGACGGAAUCUGGAAAAGAACGGUUGUGGUGGCAUCUGAAUAGAUAAUACGGUAAGCGUUAUUUCGUUCGUGACCAUGGGUCAGGGUAAUUCGAAAGGGAGUACAAAGUCAAUGGAUCUGGAAAAUGGUGUGUAUGCUCGAGUGAUCAAAUCAAAGGGCACGGGGGCGUUGGAAAGCGUAAAAUCUGGGAGAAAAGGUAUAAUUUUCCUCCUAAAGGAACACUGAGUGUAAAAGCACUCACUUUAUUAAGGGAAAAGAUCAUUGCGGGUGGCAGAGAAAUGAGAGCACAGAGUAAGAUAAAGACCAAGGACGAACUGACUCAGACUAAGUCAGAGCUAAACAUUAAGCAAAUGUUUUUCCUACAUCAGAUUCAUUACAUGAUGAACCUAACUUUCUUUUUUUUUCCUCCUCCCUAUGCACCUGCACGUACCCCACCUGGGGUACAUUUCCAAUUCACAAGGGUACCGCUUCUGGACGAUGACCUCCAACCCCCUCCACAACGUCGCGCUCCACCACCACCUGGUCAACAAGCCGCACAGAUACAACAGCCAGCACGACAAGCACCACCUUCUGCACCCCCGCCACCGCCGAUGCAAGAACUGCCACGUGGACCAGAAUCAGAGAUCAUCCACAUCCUUGACAGCACUUUUGAAGAGGACAAAGAUGAUGUUCAGAUAAAGACGGAACGGGAGGCAAGGCCUAAGGAAACAGCAGAGAAGCCGUUCACCAGAGAAACAGCUAUCUUCAGCUUUUGCCAAGAUAGGAGAAUGGGCACAGCCACAACAUAACCAACGCAAUUUCUCUUCGCAAGGACAACGCUCCCGAGAGAACGGGCAGCAGAGAGAAUGAGAGAAGAGGAGAGGAGAUCUGAAAGAAAAUGUUUGCUGGUAUUGCGGACAGAAAGGACAUUUGAAAAACCAAUGUUUCCAUUUCCUGACAACUAAAGGGACACUGGAAUCCCAAGGGAGCGCGGGAAACCUGCCGGUGUGUAAAGAAAGGGGCGACUGAAGCCAGGAGGGGGAAGGGGAGCAUCGUACGGAGGCGGGUUAAAGCAGCACUACCACGCCCCGCAGAGGGACCUUUGCACAACAUCAAACCAGGAGAUUUCGUGUUGGUGAAAAACCUGAGGAGGAAAUCCUGGAAGGCGAGACGGUGGGAGGGGCCAUUUCAGGUUCUGCUGACGACCCACACCGCCGUUAAGGUCGCGGAGCGUGCCACCUGGGUGCACGUUGCCCAUUGCCGGAGGGUUGGUCCUGGACUGCAAGGUGUAAACCAAAGGGAGGACGGCUAGUCGACUGCUACGGACCACUUUUUCGUAUUGGUGGGAACCACAGAUACCUGUAUACUGCAAGUUUAUUACUAAGAACGACACGAGAGAACUGCAACAGCUCACAAGGUAUUGGAGGACGACUCCAGUAUUCUGGGUUUGGUUUGGACACACGCACACGACAUCUUUAAUGUGGGUAAUCGACACGACGCUUGCAGCUUAAUAACUGUAAUUACAACACCAGCUUUGAGACCCCACAUUAAUUUAGACACUAAGAUAAUUUCAUUCGAACAAGAAAGCAGGAUAGCUUGGCACAACUGCACCGUGUGGUCCUACCAAACCCGAACCUACAAAGGAAAUUAAUCAACAAGGGCUCACGACCCCAACUCUAACUGUGCUCAGGGCUCACGACCCCAACUCUAACUGUGCUCAGGGCUCACGACCCCAACUCUAACUGUGCUCAAUCCAGGAAUCAUCAAGGGCUCACGACCCCAACUAUAACUGUGCUCAAUUUCUUCAAGAAAACGAACUAUUUUUCUUCUUUCAAAAAUGAGGUUCAUAAUCAUACUAUGUGUGUGUGCAUUUUUGCUUUUGCAACUGCACAGAACUAUAUGUACACUAUGGUUAAGGGUAAUAACCAGAGCUACGUAACGAUGACAGUAAAUGAAGUUAUGAAUAAAUCAUAAAAAGGGAGGAGUGUAGUGGAGGACUUUUAUUAUGCUUUUAUUUUCAUAUUAUUAUGUUUUAUUUUUCAUCCUAUUUUUCAUUUCAAUCAUAGAAUUGUGAUUCAUAUGGAGAUCAUGUUUUUCUGCUAACGCACAUAAUUAUGCUUUUUCUGUCUUUUCAGCAAGUACAAUGUUCAAGGAUUUAAACAUCAUGUACCAACAUGUACUUUUCUAUAUGAUAAGAUAAGGGGGCUUAACGGAUGAAUCAUUAAGUUAGAAACCCAGGGAACGGUAGAGUUCUCUGAGAAACAAACCAUAUGUUUUAUGAUUAUGUUUAAUGUUUAUGUUCUUAAUCACUGACAGCUGAAGGCUAUCUUCUUAAUGACGUAGAAACGGAUGAUUGUACGUGUUUCAGCAUAUUACUAUAAAUGUAUGUUCAACCUUGUGAUCGGGGCUCUUGGGUUUAGACUUCUAGCACCAGGGAGUGAGAGCCUAUUCUGCAGAAUAUAUAAAAUUCAGACAAAGAAAAUUCUGUC